RNAcentral lists this ribosomal RNA (492 nucleotides) under uncultured bacterium. Its description in RNAcentral is "partial 16S ribosomal RNA". It matches the Rfam family "Bacterial small subunit ribosomal RNA", at positions 29 to 507 of the family's 1533-position model. The record is from RNAcentral.
AGUGAACGCUGGCGGUAGGCCUAACACAUGCAAGUCGAACGGCAGCACAGUAAGAGCUUGCUCUUACGGGUGGCGAGUGGCGGACGGGUGAGGAAUACAUCGGAAUCUACUUUUUCGUGGGGGAUAACGUAGGGAAACUUACGCUAAUACCGCAUACGACCUACGGGUGAAAGCAGGGGAUCUUCGGACCUUGCGCGAUUGAAGGAGCCGAUGUCGGAUUAGCUAGUUGGCGGGGUAAAGGCCCACCAAGGCGACGAUCCGUAGCUGGUCUGAGAGGAUGAUCAGCCACACUGGAACUGAGACACGGUCCAGACUCCUACGGGAGGCAGCAGUGGGGAAUAUUGGAGCAUGGGCGCAAGCCUGAUCCAGCCAUACCGCGUGGGUGAAGAAGGCCUUCGGGUUGUAAAGCCCUUCUGUUGGGAAAGAAAAGCAGCAGGUUAAUACCCCGCUGUUCUGACGGUACCCAAAGAAUAAGCACCGGCUAACUUCGUG